Long non-coding RNA from Episyrphus balteatus (marmalade hoverfly), 1149 nucleotides. RefSeq lists it as uncharacterized. The record is from RefSeq and is a predicted model, not a curated record. Lineage: Eukaryota; Metazoa; Arthropoda; Insecta; Diptera; Syrphidae. The transcript has 2 exons.
AGAACUAGUAAAAAUGUGCAUUUUUAUAAUUUGUUUUGCCACAUAACAACAAAUAUUACUCAUACGUCGAGUGUCUUGCAAGAAGAGUUUUUGUUUUGUAAAUUUUGAUAAAAAUUAAUAACAACAAAAAUCAAAUAAUCCACUUGGAAUAUUCAUAUCUAAACCGGGAUCUAAAAAUUCUUGUUGAAAAGUCGAAUUAUGCGUUGAAUCUUUAAGGAUCUCAUUAGAACAACCUCAAAAAUGUUUGGAUUUUUUUUUUUUAAUCGUUAUUCGUUUCUUUCAAUUUUGAUAAUUAAUUUAUUUUUUUGGGGAAAUACAAAAAAUUUCAACUGAUUUUUGACCGAUGAAAAAGUAAAAAAAAAUCCAGAAGAAAAAAUUAAGAAAACAACCAACUUGGCUAAUAAAAUAAGAAAAAUGUUUGAAAAAAAAAACUUCAAAAACUUUUGUUUAUGGUUCUCAUUGUGAUGAGCUCAAAAAUGAUGUACAAAAGGUCCAGGUAUCGCAAACUAAAGUUAUGAAUUGAAUUGAUGAUGGCAAUUCAAUUGCCAAAACGAGUCAACUAAAUAAAUAAAAUCGAAAUCAAAAACGGCGGAUUGAAAUAAGAACUCUGUGCAAAAAAGAAGACGAAGAAACGAAGAGGGAAUUCCUACUUCUGGUACUUUAUAAAACAUCCUACAACUCUACAACCAACAGCCAUUAACGUUGAGAUGUGUCGUUACCACCGUCAUCAUCAACAUCAUCGUCAUCAUCGUGGUUGAAGUUUGUAUUUAUACAACGAAAGUGAGAGUUUGUGUUCUAUUUACACCGUUUCUUUCAUUUUUGUCACCACAACGACGACGACGGCAUAUUGCAAUGACUUCGCAUUUCAGAGAACAACGCUCAUACCCCCUUGGGCGUUAUAAAAGUAGAAGCUUUCAAAUGGAAUUCGAGAUAACUCUCCACGUGUCAAAUUCCCUCCCAUUCGAAGUGCACAUUAUGCAAUAUUGGUGAGUUUGAUUGCAAAUUCAAAAAAAAAAAAAAAAAAAUUAUUCUUAGCAAAGUGGUUGACGAGCAGCGGCGUUGGGCGUCUGUCCUCGUUUGGUUUGUAAUGACAAGUAUUUCACACAUCGUGUAACCAUUUUAAUUAUAAUAAAAUGCCCUUAAUGUCAA